Transfer RNA from Streptosporangium roseum DSM 43021, 72 nucleotides. It matches the Rfam family "tRNA". From Rfam's summary of the family: Transfer RNA (tRNA) molecules are approximately 80 nucleotides in length. Their secondary structure includes four short double-helical elements and three loops (D, anti-codon, and T loops). Further hydrogen bonds mediate the characteristic L-shaped molecular structure. tRNAs have two regions of fundamental functional importance: the anti-codon, which is responsible for specific mRNA codon recognition, and the 3' end, to which the tRNAs corresponding amino acid is attached (by aminoacyl-tRNA synthetases). tRNAs cope with the degeneracy of the genetic code in two manners: having more than one tRNA (with a specific anti-codon) for a particular amino acid; and 'wobble' base-pairing, i.e. permitting non-standard base-pairing at the 3rd anti-codon position. Lineage: Bacteria; Bacillati; Actinomycetota; Actinomycetes; Streptosporangiales; Streptosporangiaceae. The record is from Rfam.
GGACGAUUAGCUCAGCGGGAGAGCGCUUCCCUGACACGGAAGAGGUCACAGGUUCAAUCCCUGUAUCGUCCA